Molecule: ribosomal RNA, 680 nt
Filed under: Piper kadsura
Lineage: Eukaryota; Viridiplantae; Streptophyta; Magnoliopsida; Piperales; Piperaceae
Description: eukaryotic LSU rRNA
Rfam family: 5.8S ribosomal RNA (bases 219-374)
Source: RNAcentral
AUUGUUGAUGCCCAUCGGAACAAGACAGACGGAAGCGAACUCGUGAACCCUCGUGUUCCCGGCCCGCACGUCUGGGCGGCGCUCUGCACGUGUCGGGCAACGACGAACCAAAUCUCGGCGCGGGACGCGCCAAGCAACUCGGGUAGCUUUGAUUGCGGCGUCCUCUUCCCUACCGGGCCGGAGGGCGCACGCAUCGAACACUUACAAGUAGUCAUUACGACUCUCGGCAACGGAUAUCUCGGCUCUCGCAUCGAUGAAGAACGUAGCGAAAUGCGAUACUUGGUGUGAAUUGCAGAAUCCCGUGAACCAUCGAGUCUUUGAACGCAAGUUGCGCCCGAGGCCUUCCGGUCGAGGGCACAUCUGCUUGGGCGUCAAACAACUCGUCUCCCGCCGCCCUCUCCCUCCAGACUCCGAUCGAGGAGUCUGCCCGAGGCGAGGGUAGGUCGGGCGGAGUCUGGUCGUCCGUGUGCCCGCAGAGCGCAUGCGGUUGGCUGAAAAGCCCGGGCCACGGGCCGAGUGCGGCUCAACGGGUGGUGGUUGUGCGCCCUCUCGCGAGGCCGCGAUUGUCAGCACGCUGCGCCGUUCGCUUCUCGAUUGCCCGGCAAGUACCCAACGCGAUCGAAACGUCCAAUCGGCGGAUCGAUUCGAAUUGCGACCCCAAGUCAGGUGGGACUACCCGC